AUGAAACUCAGCAGAUCCUUACCUUGUGGUUUUAGAGCCAAGUCUGGAAAAUCAGAAGUGAUGGGGUCAAGUCAGAGCAAGAAAGUUGAAAACCAAGAAUUAAAUCAACCUUGGAUUUCAUCACAGACCAGACAGGCUGGACUCUCACUCUUGUCCAAGUUCAUCAGGGCCGACGAAGGAAAGGAGGAAACCAUGGCCACCUUCCUGGAAGCAGAGGCCAGACCCAGGUACCAGGGUGCCCCUGGGGAUCACCCUCACCCUCUCGGAGCUGGACCGCCACCACCGAUGGAGUCGAGAAAUUCCCCCGCUGUAUUUAAAAAUAGUGUAUUAAUAGAAAAUUUGGAAUAUACUACAGCCCACAGGUCAGGAGACAAUGACCAUUGAGAAGAUGGUUUGGAGUUCCCACUGUGGCACACCGGGACUGGCGGUGUCUGGGAGGCAGGUUGGAUCCCUGGCCUGGCGUAGUGGGCUGAGGAUCUGGGGUUGCCGCAGCUGCACUGCUGCUAGAAUCUGAUCCCUAGCCUGGGAACUCUAUGCCACAGGGCAGCCAAAAAAGAAAAAAAGAAAAAGAUGGUUUGUUAUCACAGCUCCUGAGAGGGUUGGGAGGGGGGCGCACGAGGAAGCAGCACCAGGGUUGGUCAGGAGGCAGGGCAGGGGGGUGUCUGUGGCAGUUUCCAUGGCGUUGGCCCAGGGACACAUCUCCCAGCUUCUGUGACCUUCAGGGUCUGGAGCUGCCCCCACGCUGGCUCUGGUUGUAACUGCUUAGUGGCUGAAGCCCCUGGGAAGGGGAUAAAAUGAGUGAACGCUCCCUCCUCUGGCUGGACACAGAGGGAGGUAAGUCUUUGCCCCCUGGUUUGCAGAGAGAUGUGCGGGGAAACCCCCAGGGAGUGUCUUCAGCAGCCCAGCAGCACAUCCUGAGCCCCUGGGAGGAGAAAGGACCACGGUGAAUUAGGGCUCCCAGCCCCGCUUGGAGUCACAGUCAAGCCCCUCCCUUCCAGGCGGAGCCCCACAGAGAUGGACAGGGAGAAGCAUAAGCCUCCAGGGUGACCUUUGAACCCUCCCUCCCCCUCCUGCCACCUCCCGCCUCUCUGUUAGAGUGAUGCCUGGGUCCUAGGACCAACUUUGUGCAGAAUCCAGGUGCUAAGAAGAAAGUGUUGGAAAAUUACUGGAGCCAGAAAGGCUAAAUUGAUGGAGAGGAGAAGAGGGGAGACAAGGGCUGGGGGGAGUGGGGGUCGAUGGAAUGAGUAAGGUCUUUGGGAGGCUUUUGGUGAAGGCUGUGGGGGUUGAGGCGGGAGAGAGGUGAAUUAGAACCUUUUAUAGAUGUCUUUCUGUGUUUUAAGAAAAAAAAAGUUCCCCUUUAAAUUUCCCUCCAGAUUUGGGCCUCUUUCAAUCCUACUUUUAUUUUCCUGGAAAGUGGUGCCAGGCUAGGACUUGGCUGCAUUGGGUCCCAUGUUCAUGUGGGUUACAACGAACUGAGAUGUGGCUUUUCAUAAACUGGAUCCAGGGUUGACUUUGCCGCUAUCCAGUUUUUACAGGAGAGCAGAAAAAGCAUCCCUGGCUUGCGUGUUCUGGGACAGAGGGAAGGCUGGGUACUGCUCCCAUGGCCAGCAGAUGUUCUGAUUUCAUCUCCCUUCCCGACCUCCCCAUUCUGAUUCAGGCUCAGAGGUAAACGGGAACAUUUUUCUAGGGAAAUGUCUACACAGCGCCAAACUGGAGGCAGAGCAGUUUACAGACAGUGGUUUGGUCCACAGGUUGCAGAGUGACCUGAAGGGAAGCUUUGGCUCACGUUCUCUUUUCUUUCUCUCUCUCUCUCUCUCUUUUUUUUUUUUUUUUUUCCCCGCCAUGCCCUAGGUAUGCAGAAGUUCCCAGGCCAGGGCUGGAACUCACACCCCAGCAGUGAAACACCAGACCCCUAACCCAGUGAGCCACCAGGGAGCUCCGUGACUCACAUUCUCUGCUUUAUUCCAUAUCUUCCUCUCCUUUCUCUUACCUGAGUGACUGUCUCAGGUUCAAGGUGGGGAAUGGUGGCUCGGCACCUUUUACCGGCCAAGGUUUAGUUUCCUUUGUUUGAAAAGUAAUAACAUCAGGCCCAAAGUCACCUACUCCUGGCAAGUGGGAGGGCUGAUGGGUGACUUCAGGGCAGGAGGCCUGUGCAGGAGGCAGUGCAAAGGGAAAGAAAAUGGGCUGCUCUAGAACAGCGGGUGGCAGGGGGCACCGCUCUGGCGCCUCUGAUGGAAAACCUCUGUUGAGAGAGCGACACCUUCCUGCAGCACUUUAGAAUCAGAAGAGUGGCUUUUGAUUUUUAACUCUGAGGCGGUCGUUUUAGAGCCUUUAGAUCCUGUCCUCAGAGGUCCCAGCCUGAGCUGCAAACUCGGGAGGGGCAGACACACCCCUCCCGGGGGCUGCCACGCGGCUUCUUCAAUGGAAAAGU
This 2431-nucleotide long non-coding RNA is filed under the name Sus scrofa (pig). RNAcentral's name for it is "lncRNA (ENSSSCG00005032652.1)". Lineage: Eukaryota; Metazoa; Chordata; Mammalia; Artiodactyla; Suidae. The record is from RNAcentral.